Molecule: ribosomal RNA, 524 nt
Filed under: uncultured Hyphomicrobiales bacterium
Lineage: Bacteria; Pseudomonadati; Pseudomonadota; Alphaproteobacteria; Hyphomicrobiales
Description: bacterial SSU rRNA
Rfam family: Bacterial small subunit ribosomal RNA
Source: RNAcentral
UGGGGAAUAUUGGACAAUGGGCGCAAGCCUGAUCCAGCCAUGCCGCGUGAGUGAUGAAGGCCCUAGGGUUGUAAAGCUCUUUUAGCGGGGAAGAUAAUGACGGUACCCGCAGAAUAAGCCCCGGCUAACUUCGUGCCAGCAGCCGCGGUAAUACGAAGGGGGCUAGCGUUGCUCGGAAUCACUGGGCGUAAAGGGCGCGUAGGCGGCCAUUCAAGUCGGGGGUGAAAGCCCAGGGCUCAACCCUGGAAUUGCCUUCGAUACUGUUUGGCUAGAGACCGGAAGAGGUUAGUGGAACUGCGAGUGUAGAGGUGAAAUUCGUAGAUAUUCGCAAGAACACCAGUGGCGAAGGCGGCUAACUGGUCCGGUUCUGACGCUGAGGCGCGAAAGCGUGGGGAGCAAACAGGAUUAGAUACCCUGGUAGUCCACGCCGUAAACGAUGGAUGCUAGCCGUUGGCGAGCUUGCUCGUCAGUGGCGCAGCUAACGCUUUAAGCAUCCCGCCUGGGGAGUACGGUCGCAAGAUUAA